This 406-nucleotide ribosomal RNA is filed under the name uncultured bacterium. RNAcentral describes it as "partial 16S ribosomal RNA". It matches the Rfam family "Bacterial small subunit ribosomal RNA", at positions 30 to 526 of the family's 1533-position model. The record is from RNAcentral.
AUUGAACGCUGGCGGCAGGCCUAACACAUGCAAGUCGAGCGAGCGGCGGACGGGUGAGUAAUGUCUGGGAAACUGCCCGAUGGAGGGGGAUAACUACUGGAAACGGUAGAUAAUACCGCAUAUUAUCAGAUCUGCCCAGAUGGGGUUUGCUUGGGGGUGGGGUAACGGCUCACCUAGGCGACGAUCCCUAGCUGGUCUGAGAGGAUGAUCACGCACACUGGAACGGAGACACGGUCCAGACUCCUACGGGAGGCAGCAGUGGGGAAUAUUGCACAAUGGGCGCAAGCCUGAUGCAGCCAUGCCGCGUGUGUGAAGAAGGCCUUCGGGUUGUAAAGCCCUUUCAGCGGGGAGGCGUUACCCGCAGAAGAAGCACCGGCUAACUCCGUGCCAGCAGCCGCGGUAAUAC